Priapulus caudatus is the source of this 1187-nucleotide long non-coding RNA. RefSeq lists it as uncharacterized. The record is from RefSeq and is a predicted model, not a curated record. The transcript has 2 exons. NCBI's taxonomy places the organism in Eukaryota, Metazoa, Priapulida, Priapulimorpha, Priapulimorphida, Priapulidae.
CUGUUACGAGCGAUGGACAUCCAAGCAAGUUAUAGUUAUCGUCUCUUCAUCGGGUUCAAGUAGUGAGUCAGGGAGGCGAGGCGGGGGAGACUCACAGCAGACCAGCCCGUCAGUCACUCGCCUACUUCGUGAUCCCGGACAGCUCGGCAGUGGUGACGCCACUGGUCAGUGAAAAGCUGGACGGCACUGCCAAAUACGCACCCAUCAACGCGGGUGGAUACAUGAUAGCCAAACUGAGAAGCACGUUCUAUUAACGUACACAUAUAUAUGUAUGUGCAUAGCGGUCUACUGAGGUGGACGUUCUAUAUUAACGUACACAUAUAUACGUGUAUAGCGGUCUACUGAGAAGCACGUUCUAUUACUGUACAUAUAUACAUGUAAUUAAACGGUCUACUGAGAAGGGAGUUCUAUUAACAUACAUAUAUACAUCAGGAGUAGAUAAUAGGGAAUUAAUUCCCAAUUAUCUACUCCUGAUAUACAUGUAUAUAGCAGUCUGCUGAGAAGCGAGUUCUAUUAACGUACAUCAAGAGUAGAUAAUAAAACCAUAAAUGGUUUUAUUAUCUACUCUUGACGUACAUAUAUAGUGCCCUACUGAGAAGGUAGUAUCCUGACGUACAUAUACAUAGCGGUCUAUUGCGAAGCGAAUUCUACGGUACAUAUAGAGUGCCCUAUUCAGAAGGGAGUUCUAUUGCCGUACACAUACAUAGCGGCGCGUGUGCAUACACGCAUGCGCGCACGUAUGCGUGCGUGCACAUAUACGAAUGCGCGCACGCGUACACGCACGCACGUUUUCCUGUAAAAAAUUACUUACGUUUGGCUGGGUAUUACUGUACGUGGGUUUCAUCACGAGUUUAUUAUUUAUGUAGCAAUUUUGAAUUUGACGUUUAAGAUAUAUUUCUCGUAUUUUUAUCUCUUUCAAAAUAUGGUCUGAAAUAAUGUGAACGCCAUGAAGGGUGAAGUAGUUAUUAAUUUCUACAAGCUUAUACGAUAUGUAAGUAAAAACAUGCGCGUAUAUUCGCGGUUAUGGUCGGAAUGCUGUUCUGAAUGAGAAUAAAUUGGCGAUUGAAGUGCCAUAGUAUGGGUAGAAUUGAUUUUAACUAUGGACUGCUAAAUAGGACUUUUACGUUUUUUUCAACACUAUAGAAUUCAUAUCAUGAUAUAAAUAAAUAUAAUAUUACAUGCAAAAA